GCUGAAACAGCAGUUCCCAUACGAUCACCGAAGUUAAGCAAAGUCGAGCCUUGCCAGUACCAAGAUGGGUGUCAGCUUAGAAACAGCAGGUGCUAUA
Molecule: non-coding RNA, 97 nt
Organism: Acanthosepion pharaonis
Lineage: Eukaryota; Metazoa; Mollusca; Cephalopoda; Sepiida; Sepiidae
Source: the annotation of a GenBank genome assembly